AUUGAGUUGGGAGCUGGGCGUUUUACCACACAGGAGCCUUCCAGCCACAGCGGGGACAAUCUUCUACUGAGCCAGCAUCUUUAUCCACUUUGGGCUCCUGGGUUACAAGUCAAGCCAAUGGACAAAACCUGUGAAGUCCUCCUGGGGACAGGAUUCCCCCUCUCUCCAGAGCCUCCUCUACCACAGGGGUGGGGGGCACUCACUGCAGCAGCCUGCACAGCCUGGUCACCAAAAAGGCACUGUGGAACCAGCUCUCAGCUGCUGGCUGUGACACUGCAGGCUCUAGGCAGGUGCCUCCCCCAGAAAUUAACCAGGGAAAGACUUACCAGGGCAACUGGCAAAGCUUGGCCGAAAUCCCUCAGUCACCUUGAUCUGGUGCAGGAACUCCCCAAACACCCAUGCCCAUGCCCCACCACAGAGUUCUUAAGCCAGCUUUCCACGAGGGCAGGCAACCAGGCAGCCGGACCUCUCCACGGCCUGAACUUCAACAGCAAGACGCACCGUGCUGCUGGGAAUCUCUGCCCUGCUUUCAGUGAGCUCACCGGAAAACCUGUUAGCAAAUCACCAGGAGG
This 572-nucleotide long non-coding RNA is filed under the name Marmota monax (woodchuck). The record is from RNAcentral. Lineage: Eukaryota; Metazoa; Chordata; Mammalia; Rodentia; Sciuridae.